GAAGUAUUGCAGGAGAGGUGAAGCGGACGAAGUCGAGGUCGAACGAGGGGAGGUAAGAGAGAGAAAAACCAGUAGAUGACCCAAAGGUGCGACUACGAAAUUCACACGCGCUCACUCUCUCACGCACACUCUCUCUCUCUCUCUCUCUCUCUCACGCACACUCUCUCUCUGGAUUUCUGGGCCGUUGGUGAAUUUGGUGGUUCAAGCCCGUCCUCCCCAGACAGUCGGAGUUUCGAUCGCUCUGCUGACUUUUCCUACACUGCCAAAGAAAAUGGUCCAUAUUUUCCAGGAUCGUGGCUGGUUUUGAUUCUCUUGAAGUGUAAUUGAAAUGGAAGGGGAUAUAUUUCCUGGAAUUGGUAAUGGAACCCAAGUUGAUGGCAAGGUUUUACAGACAUUUCAGAAGAACUUUACACAAGUUCAAAACAUUUUGGAUCAGAACAGAGUGCUAAUCCGUGAAAUAAAGCAUAACCAUGACUCUAAGAUGCCGGAUAACUUGAGCAGAAAUGUUGGUCUAAUUAGAGAGCUCAACAACAACAUCAGAAGGGUGGUGGAUCUCUAUGCUGACCUUUCGAGCUCUUUUGCAAGAUCGAUGGAAGCUUCGUCCGAAGGCGAAUUGGGGGGAAAACACAGUCAAAAGAGAGUUAGAUCCGGGGUUAAAUUGUGUUUGGUUCAUAGAACUUUUGGAACCUAUUCGGAAUCCAUCUUUGAGAGGCAAGAUCCUGAAAGAAGUAGGACAAAUGGGUAUAAGUCUUAGAGGGAGAUAGAGAAGGGGUGACAGAGAUGGAUUUUAGGGCUGAGAUGUGUUUGCAGUGCUAUGGAGGAGGAAAUAUUCGGGACUUGCAAUGGAGGAGGAAAUAUUUGGGACUUGCAAUCAUGAUGAAGGUAAGAAAGUGCCUUAGCUACAUCAAUGACAACUCUGUAACUUAAGUUCCAUGACAAGCAACAUCCUUGGCAGUUUCGCCUUUCUCUUUGUUGGAAAAUUCAACAAUCUAAUGAUCCAUUUGGGAUAAACUCGAAAACAAGGAAGGAACUGAGAAAGAUUUAAUCAUUUGCAAUGUAAUGAUUGUUGGUUAUGCUCACCAUGGACAAGAAAAACAAGCUAUCCUACUGUUUGAAGAAAUGUUGGGGAGAGGCAUUAAACCUGAUGCCGUCACCUUUCUUGCACUUCUGUCCACUUGCCGUCACUGUGGUUUAGUAGAAGUUGGUAGUAGAAGUUGGUGAGAAGUAUUUCUAUUCCAUGAUAGAAAAUUAUGCCAUAUCGCCUGAAAUUGAUCAUUAUUCAUGUAUGAUUGAUUUAUAUGGGAAGGCUAAUCGAAUUCAACAAGCGGCUACAUCUAUGAAAAGGAUUCCUGUGCGACAAGAUGCUGUAAUUUGGGGGGCUUUUUUAAAUGCUUCCAAGAUAAAUUGAAAUGUGGAGUUUGCAAGAGAAGCGGAGGAGAAACUGUUGCAAAUUGAAAGUGAUAAUGGUGCUCCAUAUGUGCAGUUAAACCUAGGUCAUCUUAUCAUGUGACAACAUUCAAAUGCAGUUUCACAUGGGCAUGACUCUAAUGGAUCAUAUCUUUCUAAGAUACCCUUUCAACAGGUUCAAGACUCUUAUGAGUUAUCUGCAGAGUAUGAAAGAAAGCUUGAUCCACAAAAGUUAGAGAAGCUUGGAAGUAUGUUAACAAGUUUGGAU
Molecule: RNA transcript, 1675 nt
Organism: Malania oleifera
Lineage: Eukaryota; Viridiplantae; Streptophyta; Magnoliopsida; Santalales; Ximeniaceae
Gene name: protein ELF4-LIKE 4
Exons: 5
Source: RefSeq, a predicted model, not a curated record